UGAAAUGUUAUCCAUAAUUAUUAUUACUAUUCACUUUUAUUUAGCAACAUGCAUGAGAAUAUACAUAUAUAUAGUUGCUUUGCUAUUAUUUAAUAUUAGUGAAUAGUUAAAUAAUAAUUGAUACAACUGAAUUAACGGUGAUAUUCGUUGGUGUCUAUACUUUAUCCAAAUUAUCGCCUAAACCGUCGAUAAUGAUGAAGAUAAAGCGAUAGCUUAAUUAAUUUUUUAUGAAAAUUAAUUAAGUAGACUUAAUAAGCAAUUAUGCUAAAUAUGCUACCAACAAAUAAAUACACACAUACAUAUACUAAUUGUAAUUAUUGAAAAAAACAUUAAAGAAAUUUUUAACUCUUAGCGGUGGAUCACUUGGCUCAUGGAUCGAUGAAGAACGCAGCUAGCUGCG
RNAcentral lists this unclassified non-coding RNA (400 nucleotides) under Mansonella perstans. RNAcentral describes it as "sequence contains ITS1". The stretch from base 344 to 400 matches the Rfam family "5.8S ribosomal RNA", at positions 1 to 57 of the family's 154-position model. The record is from RNAcentral. Lineage: Eukaryota; Metazoa; Nematoda; Chromadorea; Rhabditida; Onchocercidae.